GGGGUGUGCUCAGAGCAGGGAGCUUAAAGAAUGGCUUCUCUGUUUACAACACACCCGACAGGAAUCUAGGGUCAUUGUGACAAAGGGUAGCACAAGACUUGUGGCCUCCUGUGAACAAAUGUCCUACAUGU
Otolemur garnettii (small-eared galago) is the source of this 131-nucleotide small nucleolar RNA. The record is from Ensembl. NCBI's taxonomy places the organism in Eukaryota, Metazoa, Chordata, Mammalia, Primates, Galagidae.